Herpailurus yagouaroundi (jaguarundi) is the source of this 1951-nucleotide long non-coding RNA. RefSeq lists it as uncharacterized. The transcript is spliced from 2 exons. The record is from RefSeq and is a predicted model, not a curated record. Lineage: Eukaryota; Metazoa; Chordata; Mammalia; Carnivora; Felidae.
CUCUUUCCCCACAACAGUAAAAUGGGUCCAUUACAUUGAUGUUAUAAUGUUAACAUGUGAACAUUCACCUCCGCUGCAGGACCCUCUGCAGAUUUGUUGGAACAUCUGCAAGGGAAAAGAUGAAUUCACAAAACAUUCAAGGUGCAGAUAAUGCCAUAAAGUUUUGAGGAAUUAUUUGGUCAGGAAAUGUUGUUCCAGAAGCUUUGAUUACUAACAUACAAGCCUACCCAACCCCUAAGAAGAUAAAAGAAACGCAAGCCUUUGUAGGGAUUUGGGAGUUUUGGAGGACUUCUAUUCCCUACCUGACACAGUGCUUCUAUCCCUUUAAAAAAAGGGGGGUGGGAGGGGGAGAAGCCAAGAUGGAGGAACAGCAUGGAAGGUUUUUUUGCAUCUCUCCUCCUCGAAAUACAACCAGAUUAACACUAAACAAUCCUGCACACCUAGAAAACUGAUUUGAGGAUUAACGCAACAAUUUGCACAAUCUGAACCACAGAACUAAGCAGUGCGGCCAGAUAGUCACCAAACAAGCCACCUCUAUGCCAGUAAAACCUUGCUGACUGCUCAGGGAACAUUGCAAAAGAGCAGUACAUAUAGAAUUAUAAGAGCCAGUCAUAAGAGGGGAAACACUGGAGAAGGUCAUCGAGAGGAUAGGGAUGCCAUUUGACCCAUGAGCUGGACCCAGGCAAUUGAGGCUCUUCCCUGCCCUCCCUGUCGGUGAAAUAUGCAUUCUGCCUGCCUUCCUGCCCUAAAAGCUGCCUCAAGGACACAGACUUGAGAUAGUAAUGUGCUGUUGAGACCAUCUGGGUAUAAUGACUGGAUGUGCCAUCUGGUAGACAUGACUGAACCCAGUUAGGGCAUCUAUAUAAACUUUUAAGGUUCUGACAGGUGGGUGUAAAGAUCUGCUCACUUUGCAGCUGACUAAGCCAACCGUCAUAAAAGCAAGUUCCCUUGCUUAUUAAAACUGCCACCUACCAAUCUGGAGGGGUCUGUCUCUUUUUCAGGCUGCCCUUGCCCACCCCUCCUCCCCCCCCCCCACACACACACAGGGACCAAUUUCAGAUUUCACCCAGGAAACUGUAACCCAAGGUUACAAAUCAACAAGUUGCAAGAAGAGGUUGUUGCCAGGAGAAGCCACGGGCCACUGGGCGCUGCAGGUGGUCAUGCACUGCAGGAGGUGGACACGGCGGGGGGGGGGGGGGGGGGUAGCUGUGUGCAGUGAAGGAAUCUGGGUGCAGGAAGUGCUGCUCAGGCUGCAGAAGCCAGACCUAAAACCCACGCAAGCACCAGUGCAACAACAGGUUGCCAAGGGAGACUUGAGAGCUUGCCAAGCAAGCGCUAGAGAACCAGAAGCAAAACCCCUUUCCUCCUACAGUGUCUCUCUGGCACCCUCUGCUGACAAAGUUUAGCAUUGUGCCAGCUGGCAAAGGAAACAUUUAAAGGACCCAGAUCCAUUUCACAGUCUAGGCAGUGAAGGGAAACCUUGGUGCUGAGACCAGCUCAGCUGGUCUUCAGGGAGAGAAUAAAGCUAAACAAAAAGCCAUUACAAAUCUGUAAGGAAAAGACCUACAAUUCUAGAAAGGAAAAAAAAAAAAAUACAGAGGCACACAGAGAAAAGCAGAAAGCAAAAGGCGAGAGACAGACAAGAGGUCUGAUGACCUUGGCUGUUCUUCCCGUGGCCCUGUUACAUCCCUGUCCUUUGAUGGUAGGAGACUGCUCUGUCUCUUUCUAAUGAACGCCUCCUUUUUUGUCAGGUUACACUUGCUUGGGCUGGCUUCCAGCCCUGCGACAAAGUCCUCCUAGUCAAUAAGAAGUCACUGAAUUAAAAUCUCAGUUACUAAUUUUAUCAUUUCCAAGACCUUGGAAGAGGUUACAGUUGUUUGUACCUGUUGUAAUUUUGUCCCAUCGGGUUUGGGGAAGCACUCUUCCUUGGCCAAAAAUUUCUGUUUAAUUA